Molecule: ribosomal RNA, 1375 nt
Filed under: Latilactobacillus sakei
Lineage: Bacteria; Bacillati; Bacillota; Bacilli; Lactobacillales; Lactobacillaceae
Description: bacterial SSU rRNA
Rfam family: Bacterial small subunit ribosomal RNA
Source: RNAcentral
GCGGCGUGCCUAAUACAUGCAAGUCGAACGAACUCUGGUAUUGAUUGGUGCUUGCAUCAUGAUUUACAUUUGAGUGAGUGGCGAACUGGUGAGUAACACGUGGGAAACCUGCCCAGAAGCGGGGGAUAACACCUGGAAACAGAUGCUAAUACCGCAUAACAACUUGGACCGCAUGGUCCGAGUUUGAAAGAUGGCUUCGGCUAUCACUUUUGGAUGGUCCCGCGGCGUAUUAGCUAGAUGGUGGGGUAACGGCUCACCAUGGCAAUGAUACGUAGCCGACCUGAGAGGGUAAUCGGCCACAUUGGGACUGAGACACGGCCCAAACUCCUACGGGAGGCAGCAGUAGGGAAUCUUCCACAAUGGACGAAAGUCUGAUGGAGCAACGCCGCGUGAGUGAAGAAGGGUUUCGGCUCGUAAAACUCUGUUGUUAAAGAAGAACAUAUCUGAGAGUAACUGUUCAGGUAUUGACGGUAUUUAACCAGAAAGCCACGGCUAACUACGUGCCAGCAGCCGCGGUAAUACGUAGGUGGCAAGCGUUGUCCGGAUUUAUUGGGCGUAAAGCGAGCGCAGGCGGUUUUUUAAGUCUGAUGUGAAAGCCUUCGGCUCAACCGAAGAAGUGCAUCGGAAACUGGGAAACUUGAGUGCAGAAGAGGACAGUGGAACUCCAUGUGUAGCGGUGAAAUGCGUAGAUAUAUGGAAGAACACCAGAGGCGAAGGCGGCUGUCUGGUCUGUAACUGACGCUGAGGCUCGAAAGUAUGGGUAGCAAACAGGAUUAGAUACCCCGGUAGUCCAUACCGUAAACGAUGAAUGCUAAGUGUUGGAGGGUUUCCGCCCUUCAGUGCUGCAGCUAACGCAUUAAGCAUUCCGCCUGGGGAGUACGGCCGCAAGGCUGAAACUCAAAGGAAUUGACGGGGGCCCGCACAAGCGGUGGAGCAUGUGGUUUAAUUCGAAGCUACGCGAAGAACCUUACCAGGUCUUGACAUACUAUGCAAAUCUAAGAGAUUAGACGUUCCCUUCGGGGACAUGGAUACAGGUGGUGCAUGGUUGUCGUCAGCUCGUGUCGUGAGAUGUUGGGUUAAGUCCCGCAACGAGCGCAACCCUUAUUAUCAGUUGCCAGCAUUAAGUUGGGCACUCUGGUGAGACUGCCGGUGACAAACCGGAGGAAGGUGGGGAUGACGUCAAAUCAUCAUGCCCCUUAUGACCUGGGCUACACACGUGCUACAAUGGAUGGUACAACGAGUUGCGAACUCGCGAGAGUAAGCUAAUCUCUUAAAGCCAUUCUCAGUUCGGAUUGUAGGCUGCAACUCGCCUACAUGAAGUCGGAAUCGCUAGUAAUCGCGGAUCAGCAUGCCGCGGUGAAUACGUUCCCGGGUC